CAGCAGCGUUUGGUGGCUGGAGUUUGUCCUUGGUGAGCCAGGACCUGGAGGGAUGGAGAUGUGGGAAUGAGCCCCCACCAUCCUGCCCCUGCUGCCCUGUCUAUGCCUGUGAAGCCAAGAGGAUUCCUGCUGUUGGCACAGCUGGGUGCAGCCUUUGAAAGCAGGUUUUGCGAUGGGAAGGGAGAAAUCAGCCCUGCCAUUCCACAUUUCUGUCCUGUGUGCUGGGAGAGUUGGAGCCCAAGGGGACACCUCUGGCCCUGGGACCACAUCUGAGCCUGCAGCUUGGGAAGCAGCCUGGGGCUGUGUCCAGAG
This 312-nucleotide long non-coding RNA is filed under the name Zonotrichia albicollis (white-throated sparrow). RNAcentral's name for it is "lncRNA (ENSZALG00000002315.1)". Lineage: Eukaryota; Metazoa; Chordata; Aves; Passeriformes; Passerellidae. The record is from RNAcentral.